UGACGUAAUUUAUGGACAGCCCCUUAGUAUUAAAGGACGACAGUGGCAGUAUAGAAGCAUCCAUCAGCGAGGCUUUGGUUUACUUGUGGUGUUGAAAGUAGAGUCUCUCCAGCCCUCCCCGCCGCCGCCGGCGCCGCCAUGUCGCCGCUCGUUCGCUCGCUACUCGCUACUCGCGCUCGCUGCGCUGGUCGCCGCCGACGACGCCCAAGGGUAUAACUGCACCAGGAAAGAUGUCGGUCCAGUAACAGAUCAUCCUGUUAUACUACCCGACAUUGAUAUAUUUUCCCCGGGGGAAGUGGUUUUGCCUAAACAUGGUAUGUGCCCGUAUGCCGCGCAGCCGGUUGGUGAAAGGAUAGUGUGUUGCAACAAUUACCCAGGCUAUUCUCAUCCCGACAUCGUGGGACCAUAUUAUCCACCUUCAUUGUCACCAUUCAAUGUUAUCCAGCAUGGUCAUGGAGGAUGUAAGUGUAGAAUCACCGUGUAUUGUCCCAAUUAAUAAUAACAUUUUAAACUUUCGCGUUUUAACACAUUAAAUCAUACUUUUAGCGGGUCUAUCCCGGAAUUAUUUUGUUUACUCUUAUUUUAUUAAAUUUAUUUCGUUUUACAAAUAACUGGAUUGAGCUUUAUAAUUGGGAAGAUGGUUUUAACAUUUUCAUUGACAUUUUUGAUCGAUUCGUCUCACAAAUCUCCGUUUAGAGAUUUAACUAGACUAUAAUUUGUUCGCGACCACGACCAUUGUACUCUGCGUCAAAAUGUCCGAAAUAAAAGCUAACGAAAUAAAUUUGAAAAUAGACAAAGUAAAUAUUUGUACAAAAUAAAAUUUAGACCCAUGAAAAUUAUGAAUUAAUACUGUGGCUAUUGACAGACAGGCACUACUAAUAUUCGCUCAUGAAUUACUUUCUUUGAUAUCUUUUUGAAAAUGUAACGUUUACCUACUGCUGUGAUAGGCUGUGAUUCUUCAUCUUAGUUUCACAAAAUAUGUUUACCUAUUGUCAUAUUUGACAUAACGUUUGAUUUUUUCUAAAUUCUAGUUUUAUUUUCUGUAUAGUGCGCAUUUAAUAAUAUGUUAAAUAUUAGAUAUUGAGCACUUUUACUUCAUGUUUUAAAUAAAGAUAUAAUUG
Long non-coding RNA from Cydia splendana, 1121 nucleotides. RefSeq lists it as uncharacterized. The transcript is spliced from 3 exons. Lineage: Eukaryota; Metazoa; Arthropoda; Insecta; Lepidoptera; Tortricidae. The record is from RefSeq and is a predicted model, not a curated record.